GAUCCUGGCUCAGGAUGAACGCUAGCGGCAGGCUUAACACAUGCAAGUCGAGGGGUAACGGGGAAGCUUGCUUCCGCCGACGACCGGCGCACGGGUGCGUAACGCGUAUACAAUCUACCUUGUACUGGGGUAUAGCCUUUAGAAAUGAAGAUUAAUCCCCCAUAGUCUCUUAGAGUGGCAUCACUUCUAGAGUAAAGGUUACGGUAUAAGAUGAGUAUGCGUUCUAUUAGUUUGUUGGUGUGGUAACGGCACACCAAGACUACGAUAGAUAGGGGCCCUGAGAGGGGGAUCCCCCACACUGGUACUGAGACACGGACCAGACUCCUACGGGAGGCAGCAGUGAGGAAUAUUGAACAAUGGAGGCAACUCUGAUCCAGCCAUGCCGCGUGCAGGAAGACUGCCCUAUGGGUUGUAAACUGCUUUUAUACAGGAAGAAACACCUCUACGUGUAGAGGCUUGACGGUACUGUAAGAAUAAGGAUCGGCUAACUCCGUGCCAGCAGCCGCGGUAAUACGGAGGAUCCAAGCGUUAUCCGGAAUCAUUGGGUUUAAAGGGUCCGUAGGUGGAUAACUAAGUCAGAGGUGAAAUCUUGCAGCUCAACUGUAAAAUUGCCUUUGAAACUGGUUAUCUUGAGUUAUUAUGAAGUAGUUAGAAUAUGUAGUGUAGCGGUGAAAUGCAUAGAUGUUACAUAGAAUACCAAUUGCGAAGGCAGAUUACUAAUAAUUAACUGACACUGAUGGACGAAAGCGUGGGUAGCGAACAGGAUUAGAUACCCUGGUAGUCCACGCCGUAAACGAUGGUUACUAGCUGUUUGGACUUCGGUCUGAGUGGCUAAGCGAAAGUGAUAAGUAACCCACCUGGGGAGUACGUUCGCAAGAAUGAAACUCAAAGGAAUUGACGGGGGCCCGCACAAGCGGUGGAGCAUGUGGUUUAAUUCGAUGAUACGCGAGGAACCUUACCAGGGCUUAAAUGUAAGUUGCAUUAGCUAGAGAUAGCUAUUUCUUCGGACCACUUACAAGGUGCUGCAUGGUUGUCGUCAGCUCGUGCCGUGUGGUGUCAGGUUAAGUCCUAUAACGAGCGCAACCCCUGUUGUUAGUUGCCAGCGAGUCAUGUCGGGAACUCUAACAAGACUGCCAGUGCAAACUGUGAGGAAGGUGGGGAUGACGUCAAAUCAUCACGGCCCUUACGUCCUGGGCUACACACGUGCUACAAUGGUAGGUACAGAGAGCAGCCACUGCGCGAGCAGGAGCGAAUCUAUAAAACCUAUCACAGUUCGGAUCGGAGUCUGCAACUCGACUCCGUGAAGCUGGAAUCGCUAGUAAUCGGAUAUCAGCCAUGAUCCGGUGAAUACGUUCCCGGGCCUUGUACACACCGCCCGUCAAGCCAUGGAAGUUGGAAGUGCCUGAAGUCCGUCACCGCAAGGAGCGGCCUAGGGUAAAGUCGAUAACUAGGGCUAAGUCGUAACAAGGUA
RNAcentral lists this ribosomal RNA (1471 nucleotides) under uncultured Flavobacteriia bacterium. RNAcentral describes it as "bacterial SSU rRNA". It matches the Rfam family "Bacterial small subunit ribosomal RNA". Lineage: Bacteria; Pseudomonadati; Bacteroidota; Flavobacteriia. The record is from RNAcentral.